GGAAUCUUGGACAAUGGGGGCAACCCUGAUCCAGCCAUGCCGCGUGAGCGAUGAAGGCCUUAGGGUUGUAAAGCUCUUUCAGCGGGGAAGAUAAUGACGGUACCCGCAGAAGAAGCCCCGGCUAACUCCGUGCCAGCAGCCGCGGUAAUACGGGGGGGGCAAGCGUUGUUCGGAAUUACUGGGCGUAAAGGGUUCGUAGGUGGCCAACUAAGUCGGACGUGAAAUCCCUCGGCUCAACCGGGGAACUGCGUCUGAUACUGGUUGGCUUGAGUGCAGGAGAGGAACGCGGAAUUCCAGGUGUAGCGGUGAAAUGCGUAGAUAUCUGGAGGAACACCGGUGGCGAAGGCGGCGUUCUGGACUGCAACUGACACUGAGGAACGAAAGCCAGGGGAGCAAAC
Molecule: ribosomal RNA, 398 nt
Filed under: uncultured bacterium
Lineage: Bacteria
Description: bacterial SSU rRNA
Rfam family: Bacterial small subunit ribosomal RNA
Source: RNAcentral